Cherax quadricarinatus is the source of this 5162-nucleotide non-coding RNA. The record is from RefSeq and is a predicted model, not a curated record. Lineage: Eukaryota; Metazoa; Arthropoda; Malacostraca; Decapoda; Parastacidae.
GUACCUGCACUAAAUAAUUAUAUUUACAUGUACCUGCACUAAAUAAUUAUAUUUACAUGUACCUGCACUAAAUAAUUAUAUUUACAUGUACCUGCACUAAAUAAUUAUAUUUACAUGUACCUGCACUAAAUAAUUAUAUUUACAUGUACCUGCACUAAAUAAUUAUAUUUACAUGCACCUGCACUAAAUAAUUAUAUUUACAUGUACCUGCACUAAAUAAUUAUAUUUACAUGUACCUGCACUAAUUAAUUAUAUUUACAUGUACCUGCACUAAAUAAUUAUAUUUACAUGUACCUGCACUAAAUAAUUAUAUUUACAUGCACCUGCACUAAAUAAUUAUAUUUACAUGUACCUGCACUGAAUAAUUAUAUUUACAUGUACCUACACUAAAUAAUUAUAUUUACAUGUACCUGCACUAAUUAAUUAUAUUUACAUGUACCUGCACUAAAUAAUUAUAUUUACAAAACUCCUAUGUUUUCGCAGGAGGAUGAUGAUAUAUCAACGGAGCAAAAUCAUCAGUCUAGUGCAGCAGGGUUGUCUCAAGGUGAAUCAGCGGCGUUGGCACUUGAACUGGCAAAAAUCAAUCUUGAGCAGACUAGGGAACAGAGAGCAUUUGCAAAAGAAGAAUUUGAUAGGGAAAAAGAAAGAAGGCAGUUUUCGCAUCUUGUAAAUGAUUUUAGUUUACAGAAAGCAGUACAGCUUGUUUCCCACUUCAAUGAGGCUGAACCAGAAAAAUUUUUCGAAAGCUUCGAAAAUCAGGCUCGAGCCUUGAGGUGGCCGGAACAGCAUUGGGCAUCGUUGGUUCACACAGCAUUGUUUGGUAAGGCACAGGAAUUUACGUCAGUGUUAAAUGACACUGAUUUUUCCGAUUAUAAAGUAGUGAAGACCAGUGUUGGGAGCAUAUACAGUGGACCCCCGCUUAACGAUCACCUCCCUAUGUGACCAAUUAUGUAAGUGUGUUUAUGUAAAUGCAUUUGUACGUGUAUGUUUGGGGGUCUGAAAUGGACUAAUCUACUUCACAAUAUUCCUUAUGGGAACAAAUUCGGUCAGUACUGGCACCUGAACAUACUUCUGGAAUGAAAAAAUAUCGUUAACCGGGGGUCCACUGUACUUGUAUCCCAACUAAGUAUCAGAAACAGUUUAAAUUAGGCAGACGACAGCUUGGUCAAUCCCUGGUUGAUUUUGUGCGACAGCAGACCAAAGCUUUUACCAGCUGGUAUAAAGUAAGUGGUGUUGCUACCUUCGAUGAUCUUGUGCAGCUUAUUCUGAUUGACACCCUGCUGGAGUCUGUGGGACCAGAGGUUCGAGUCUUUCUGCAGGAUCAUGACUUAACCACUGCUUUGGAGGCAGCCAGGCUGGCUGAUACCUUUGAAAUUAACCGCUCCUUGUCCGAGCGGUCUCAUCUCUCUUUUCAACAACCUGGCAUGAGAAGAGAUCGUCAACCUUGGAGGAUGAAGUGCCAGCCGGAGGGAGAACGUCUACGUCAGCCAACUAAGUCUCCUGGUGAGCCACGCUUUUCAACUUACGGUCCACCUGGUGAGAGACAAACUACUCAACAUGGUGCAACUCGACAACAGUAUCCAGAAAGACACCAGCCAGAGUGGCACCAGUUGCAACGUCAGCAGGGAGUUAAAGGCAAACCUGUCGUCUGCUACCUAUGUAAUAAAGUAGGUCACAUCCGUCCCAACUGCCCCCAUAAACCCCAACCUAUUGGGAAAAUCUCUAAUAUCCCUAGUAACAUGUCCCCGAGAGAAGUAGAAAAAGGGAUGGCCCCUUAUUACUGUAAGAGUCUUAUUUCCCUUCAGGAAAACUCCAAAACAACUGAAGUCUCCUUUAGAGAUACUGAAGCGUAUUGCUCAUUUAUAAGAGAAGGAAUAUUACCCCUUUCAAAGAAUACCUUCUUAAAUUCCUGUUUUGCUGGAAGCAUUUGGAGGAGCUAUAUAUUCUGUCCCUUUGCAUAAAAUUUAUGUACAGUGCAAAUAUUACACUGGGUACUUGACUGUGGGUGUAUCCGAAGGAUUCCCCAUGAAAGAUGCCAUGUUAUUACUGGGUAAUAACAUUACCACGGCUAUUGUAUGUCCUGAACCCAUAAUGAUUAAUUCUUCUCCGGUGUUGGCCAUAACUCGGGCAACAUCCCAAGGGAAGUCUGGCGAGAAUGUUGACCUAUCCUUGGACGGCUCCGAUCUCGGAAUAGCCACGUUGUUUUGCGAGGAAAACCGGCCGGGGCCUCGUAGAUCAAGUGAACAGACCCAGAUCAAGCCUUCCUAUUCCAGAUAUCUCUAUUUCCAUGCCCGAGGAACUGUCCUUCCGGGAGAAACAACAAAAGGACCCUUCUUUAAAUUUCGCUUUUCAGGCAGCCAUGGGUAAAUCCUCUUUGGAUCAUCCGGUCAAGUAUAAACUUAAAAACGACUAUUUGAUCUGCACUGAGACUGGUAAGGAGAUAGAGGGCCGGCAAUUGUCAGACAGGUUAGUAGUUCCAACAAAGUUUAGACCUCAAAUAUUGAAUAUUGCUCAUAAUACUUCAUUAGGAGGUCACUUAGGAAUUACUAAAACAUUAUAUAGAAUUACAAAAGAAUUUUAUUGGUCAAAAUUAAAGCAGGAUGUGAAGAAUACCAUCCGGUGUUGCCGAGAAUGUCAGUGAGUAGGGAAACCUGGACAUUCCAUUAAACCUGCACCUCUCCAACCUAUACCUGCUGAUGGAGAACCUUUGGCAGAUUUAAUUAUAGAUUGUGUAGGUCCACUACCUAGGUCAAAGUCGGGAAAUCAGUAUUUAUUUACCAUUAUGGAUAGAGUAACUAGAUACCCUGAAGCAAUUCCCAUGUGCAGUAUUAAUACUAAAUAUUAAUAUUAAUACUUCACUGCCAAAGCAUUUAGGGAAGCAUUAACUAGGUUAGGGAUAAUCCACAACUUAUCCACUGCCUAUCAUCCUCAGUCCCAAGGCGCCUUGGAAAGAUUCCAUCAGACGUUAAAAACCAUGAUAACUUUUUGCGUGCAUUUUCCUACAGACUGGGAUGAAUCACUACUUUUGUUGCUGUUCCCAGUACGAGAAACGGUGCAAGAGUCUACCGGGUAUAGUCUGUUUGAGCUGGUCUUUGGGCACAAAGUACAAGGUCCUCUUCGGGUGCUCAAAGAAGGAUGGAUGGGAGAAGACGUUAGCUCAACAUUCUACAACCCUUCUUCAAGGUUGCAGGUGGCAUGUCAGUUAGCCAAGGCUAACCUAAAGGCAGCUCAAAAUAAGAUGAAACAGAGUUAUGACAGAAAUGCACAAUUCCACCCCUUCCAUCCAGGAGACAAGGUGUUGGUGCAGGAACCUAUACCUGGCCACACCUUGAAAGCUAGAUUUACGGGACCUAUGCAAAUUGUAAGUAAAUUAUCUGAUGUAAAUUAUGUGGUAGCUCCCCUUGAUAAGACCUCAAAAACUAAAACUUACCACAUUAAUCAAUUAAAAUCUUUUCAUACACCAGAUAAAGUUCCAGUAAUGACUCUGUCCUCUUCCUCUGAGGACAACUCUGACUCUUUGCACUCUAUUUCUGAAAUUAAUGUUAAACUUCCAAACUCUGUCUCCUCCUCAAGGACCCUAGCCCUUUAAUGGUGGGGCUAUCUGAAACUCAAGCAACACGUUUAACUGUGCUUCUACAGUCAUACCCUGAUAUUUUUUCGGAUGUGCCGAAAAAAUGUACGUUAGGUUAUCAUGAUGUAGACGUGGGAAACUCUAAACCUAUUAAACUCUCCCCCUACAGAGCUAAUCCUGAAAAGCAGAGGCUACUUCAGCAGGAAGCAGAAUUUCUAUUAGAGCAUGGGUUAGUGGAGGAAUCAUCUAGUCCAUGGGCUUCACCGUGCAUCCUUGUUAAAAAAGCUGAUGGAGGGUUUCGUAUGUGUACAGACUACUGUAAGGUGAAUGAGGUCACAAUCACAGAUGCUUACCCUCUUCCUCGUCUGGAUGAUGUAAUCGACUUUGUGGGUUGAUGCUUGUGAGUCUGGGGUUGGGGCAGUACUAUUGCAAAACGAGGACGAGGAGUUGCAGCCUGUAGCCUACUUCUCGGUCAAGUUCCAGCAGCAUCAGAGGGCUUACUCUACCAUUGAAAAAGAAGCCCUUGCGCUGGUACUGACUUUGGAGCACUUUGAUGUAUACUUGGGACAAACUUCGCAGGUGGUCACUGUCUACAGUGACCACAAUCCUCUAGUAUAUCUCCAAACCAUGAAGAACCACAACACAAGGCUCAUGAGAUGGACGCUGAGACUGCAACCCUACUUUCUGAGAAUUGUACAUAUUGCCGGCAAAGAAAAUAUGUUGGCAGACUCUUCAUCUAGAGUCUAACAAUAUUAUUUAUAAUUAUAUAUUAGGUUAGGAUGUUAGGUUACUUGUGGUAACCCCUUCCAAGCUCUUUUCUUUUAUUCCCUGGUGCGGGGUUUUUUUUUUUAGUGAGGGGAUGCGGGCUACCGUCUGCCUGUGUCUUGGACCUAAGCUAGCCCGACUGUCUGCUGUCUCACUCUGAGUUUAGGGUUUGGCUUUUUGUCACGAGAAAAGCUGAGCUCUAUCUAAGAGUUGGAUGGUUGAGAGGAAAGGCAGUCCCAUUAUUUUGUGCCAUGGCAGCACGGUUACCACCAUUAAUAAACCAGAUGCCAUUAAUAAACCAGUUAUAACAAUAAACCAGACACCAUUAAUAAACAAGUUAUAACAAGCCAGUUAUAAUAAACCAGUUAUAAUUAUAAACCAGUUAUAACAAUAAACCAGUUAUAACAAUAAACCAGACACCAUUAAUAAACCAGUUAUAAUAAACCAGUUAUAACAAUAAACCAGACACUAUUAAUAAACCAGACACCAUUAAUAAACCAAUUAUAACAAUAAACCAGUUAUAAUAAACCAGUUAUAACAAUAAACCAGACACCAUUAUAAACCAGUUAUAACAAUAAACCAGUUAUAAUAAACCAGUUAUAACAAUAAACCAGACACCAUUAAUAAACCAGUUAUAACAAUAAACCAGUUAUAAUAAACCAGUUAUAACAAACCAGACACCAUUAAUAAACCAGUUAUAACAAUAAGCCAGUUAUAACAAUAAACCAGUUACAACAAUAAACCAGUUAUAACAAUAAACCAGUUAUAAUAAAGCAGACACCAUUAAUAAACCAGACACCAUUAAUAAACCAGUUAUAACAAUAAG